AUGUCCACGGACCAUUUUCUAUCGCCUUUCUCUUCCCUUCCUCUUGCUGAAACAGAAAUGGGAAUCUGUUCCCCCCAUCUCCCUCACCUCAAGCCUGCUCAAUGGGCACCAGGCCCUCUUCAGCGCGACCUCCAUACCCUUCACAUAGCCUGGUUUGUCCGACAUGAGCUUCCCCAUUGCCUUCGCUGCCCCCCUACCUGCUGUUGCCCUUGCUGCUGCGUCCUUCUCCAUCCAACCUUCACCCCCUUCUUCUCUGCUUCAGACAGAUUCAUCUUCUUGAGCAUUCCUUCCACGCCUUCCAUGACUAUCCGGACUCAGCUCCUUGAAUCUCCCCGAUCUAGGAAGAAUGGGGAGAAUCGCUCCUGGGAGACUGAGAAAGGAAGGAAGUCCCCGCCCGCGAGGUCGGCGAGAGGGAGAUCCAGGGGCGGGGUGAGAAGCUCCAGGGGACCCCAAGGCGGCGGCGGGGGAAUAGGGACAGGGGAAGAAUCGCCCCAGGAUCGCCAGAGAAGAAAACCUAGCCGUCACGGGUGGACGGACCAUCGCCACAGAAGCUGGGCGGCGAGGCGCUCUCCUCGGCGCCAAGAGAGGUCGCGCGCGGGAGGCCACCGGGCCCUCGUCUUCGACCGCCUCGAGGGGAUCAACGACAAGGUAACCGCCGCCCCCUCCCCUCCCACGGAUCCGCGGAUCUCGGCCGCCGGUGACGCGCGCGCGAUGGGUCCUGCUUGCCCCCUGCUGUUUUUUGCGCGAUUUGACGGGCUCCUUCCGCGUUUGAUUUCUGGCUCUGCUCCGUGCAGCAGGUCUACCUCGAGCGGACUCCCAUCGUCAUCUCGUGGCCAGGGCAUCUCCAGGAGUCGGGAUUUCCAGAUGGUAACUUCCUCCGGUCUCGUCCCUCCUCACCUAGCACAGAUGCCUGAUUUACUGCGUACCUGCGUGCGAAAUCCAUGUUUGGGACCGACCAAGGGGUCUGCUUUUAUUUGGCCAAUGUUGUUCAUAUUCUGCAAGUGUGGGGUCUGGUACAUUAAGUCCAGACGACUAGCUGAUGCUGAACACUAUCAUUCUGACUAUGUGAAUAUGUUAGCGGUCAUGCACUUAUUUUCAAAGGGAGAUCAGGAAGAUUCUGACAGGGAGGGCGAAGAAUUUCAAUAUCUCUCUCUGGAUGAUGUGUGCGAUUUUGGUAACGAGUUCGCCCAUGCCAUUGAAGCCAAACAGGUUGCUGCGAAGGAAGCAGAGUGUGCCAAGUUCAUUGUUGAGACGGCUGAGCAAGACAAGAAAAUUUCAGACUUCCAGUGGUACGUUCAUAUGACUGAAUAUAGUUUCAGACUUCCAGUGGUAUGUUGGGAGAGGCCAAGAGUGCAGAGCUCGUCGGUGCUGGUGAAGCUGGGCGGCGUGGCGCUCCCGUCAGCACCAAGAGAGGUCGCGGGAGGCCACCCGACCCUCGUCUUCGACCGCCUCAAGGGGAUCAAUGACAAGGUCUACCCCGAGGAGGCUCACAUCAUCAUCCCGUGGUUCGAGAGGCCGAUCAUCUACGACGUCCGCGCACGACCCAACCUUGAGGAGCCUACCUGGAGCUGCCUCCUGGUGCUAAUCCCAACCUCACCGAACUCGAAGAGAAUCACUUGGAGGAUUCAAGGAAUUGCGAAGCUCUUUUUGGCUUUUGAUAUUCUAUGUUUAGUGACCUUUCCUGCCAUACUCACAACAGCAAAUGAAAUUGAGCUUGUGCUAAUUUUCCAUGUCAUUGCUGCUGGUGCUUUCCAGGGUUAA
Molecule: ribosomal RNA, 1761 nt
Filed under: Triticum aestivum (bread wheat)
Lineage: Eukaryota; Viridiplantae; Streptophyta; Magnoliopsida; Poales; Poaceae
Description: partial small subunit ribosomal RNA
Source: RNAcentral